Molecule: ribosomal RNA, 586 nt
Filed under: uncultured bacterium
Lineage: Bacteria
Description: bacterial SSU rRNA
Rfam family: Bacterial small subunit ribosomal RNA
Source: RNAcentral
CCUACGGGAGGCAGCAGUGGGGAAUAUUGGACAAUGGGCGCAAGCCUGAUCCAGCCAUACCGCGUGUGUGAAGAAGGCCUUCGGGUUGUAAAGCACUUUAAGCAGGGAGAAAAAGUUAUAAGUUAAUACCUUAUAACCGUGAUGUUACCUGCAGAAUAAGCACCGGCUAAUUCCGUGCCAGCAGCCGCGGUAAUACGGAAGGUGCAAGCGUUAACCGGAAUUACUGGGCGUAAAGCGCGCGUAGGUGGUUUGUUAAGUUGGAUGUGAAAGCCCUGGGCUCAACCUAGGAACUGCAUCCAAAACUAACUCACUAGAGUACGAUAGAGGGAGGUAGAAUUCAUAGUGUAGCGGUGGAAUGCGUAGAUAUUAUGAAGAAUACCAGUGGCGAAGGCGGCCUCCUGGAUCUGUACUGACACUGAGGUGCGAAAGCGUGGGUAGCGAACAGGAUUAGAUACCCUGGUAGUCCACGCCGUAAACGAUGACAACUAGCUGUUGGAAGACAACGUCUUUCAGUGGCGCAGCUAACGUUUUAAGUUGUCCGCCUGGGGAGUACGGCCGCAAGGCUAAAACUCAAAUGAAUUGACGG